RNAcentral lists this transfer RNA (74 nucleotides) under Pseudomonas aeruginosa. Its description in RNAcentral is "tRNA-Asn". It matches the Rfam family "tRNA". From Rfam's summary of the family: Transfer RNA (tRNA) molecules are approximately 80 nucleotides in length. Lineage: Bacteria; Pseudomonadati; Pseudomonadota; Gammaproteobacteria; Pseudomonadales; Pseudomonadaceae. The record is from RNAcentral. RNAcentral also lists the same sequence under 1 other name.
UGACGUGUAGCUCAGAGGUAGAGCGGUCGGCUGUUACCCGACUGGUCGAUGGUUCGAUCCCUCCGCGUCAGCCA